AUUGAACGCUGGCGGCAGGCCUAACACAUGCAAGUCGAGCGGAUGAAGGGAGCUUGCUCCUGGAUUCAGCGGCGGACGGGUGAGUAAUGCCUAGGAAUCUGCCUGGUAGUGGGGGAUAACGUCCGGAAACGGGCGCUAAUACCGCAUACGUCCUGAGGGAGAAAGUGGGGGAUCUUCGGACCUCACGCUAUCAGAUGAGCCUAGGUCGGAUUAGCUAGUUGGUGGGGUAAAGGCCUACCAAGGCGACGAUCCGUAACUGGUCUGAGAGGAUGAUCAGUCACACUGGAACUGAGACACGGUCCAUACUCCUACGGGAGGCAGCAGUGGGGAAUAUUGGACAAUGGGCGAAAGCCUGAUCCAGCCGUGCCGCGUGUGUGAAGAAGGUCUUCGGAUUGUAAAGCACUUUAAGUUGGGAGGAAGGGCAGUAAGUUAAUACCUUGCUGUUUUGACGUUACCAACAGAAUAAGCACCGGCUAACUUCGUG
This 484-nucleotide ribosomal RNA is filed under the name uncultured bacterium. Its description in RNAcentral is "partial 16S ribosomal RNA". It matches the Rfam family "Bacterial small subunit ribosomal RNA", at positions 30 to 507 of the family's 1533-position model. The record is from RNAcentral.